This 253-nucleotide ribosomal RNA is filed under the name uncultured bacterium. RNAcentral's name for it is "partial 16S ribosomal RNA". It matches the Rfam family "Bacterial small subunit ribosomal RNA", at positions 524 to 776 of the family's 1533-position model. The record is from RNAcentral.
UACGUAGGGGGCAAGCGUUGUCCGGAUUUAUUGGGCGUAAAGAGCGUGUAGGCGGUUAGGUAGGUCCGUUGUGAAAACUCGAGGCUCAACCUCGAGACGCCGAUGGAAACCAUCUGACUAGAGUCCGGAAGAGGAGAGUGGAAUUCCUGGUGUAGCGGUGAAAUGCGCAGAUAUCAGGAAGAACACCCGUGGCUAAGGCGGCUCUCUAGUACGUGACUGACGCUGAGACGCGAAAGCGUGGGUAGCAAACAGG